Molecule: ribosomal RNA, 254 nt
Filed under: uncultured bacterium
Lineage: Bacteria
Description: partial 16S ribosomal RNA
Rfam family: Bacterial small subunit ribosomal RNA
Source: RNAcentral
UACGGGGGGGGGCAAGCGUUGUUCGGAAUUACUGGGCGUAAAGGGCUCGUAGGUGGCCAACUAAGUCAGACGUGAAAUCCCUCAGCUUAACUGGGGAACUGCGUCUGAUACUGGUUGGCUUGAGUGCAGGAGAGGAAUGCGGAAUUCCAGGUGUAGCGGUGAAAUGCGUAGAUAUCGGAAGGAACAUCAGUGGCGAAAGCGGCUUCCUGGUCCAGCACCGACGUUCAGGCACGAAAGCGUGGGGAGCAAACAGG